RNAcentral lists this ribosomal RNA (460 nucleotides) under uncultured bacterium. Its description in RNAcentral is "partial 16S ribosomal RNA". It matches the Rfam family "Bacterial small subunit ribosomal RNA", at positions 338 to 795 of the family's 1533-position model. The record is from RNAcentral.
CCUACGGGAGGCAGCAGUGAGGAAUAUUGGUCAAUGGACGAGAGUCUGAACCAGCCAAGUAGCGUGAAGGAUGACUGCCCUAUGGGUUGUAAACUUCUUUUAUAAAGGAAUAAAACGAGGCACGUGUGCCUUUUUGCAUGUACUUUAUGAAUAAGGAUCGGCUAACUCCGUGCCAGCAGCCGCGGUAAUACGGAGGAUCCGAGCGUUAUCCGGAUUUAUUGGGUUUAAAGGGAGCGUAGAUGGGUUGUUAAGUCAGUUGUGAAAGUUUGCGGCUCAACCGUAAAAUUGCAAUUGAUACUGGCGGUCUUGAGUACAUUUGAGGUAGGCGGAAUUCGUGGUGUAGCGGUGAAAUGCUUAGAUAUCACGAAGAACCCCGAUUGCGAAGGCAGCUUACUAAACUGUGACUGACAUUGAUGCUCGAAAGUGUGGGUAUCAAACAGGAUUAGAUACCCUGGUAGUC